AGUGAACGCUGGCGGUAGGCCUAACACACGCAAGUCGAACGGCAGCACAGUAAGAGCUUGCUCUUACGGGUGGCGAGUGGCGGACGGGUGAGGAAUACAUCGGAAUCUACUUUUUCGUGGGGGAUAACGUAGGGAAACUUACGCUAAUACCGCAUACGACCUACGGGUGAAAUCAGGGGAUCUUCGGACCUUGCGCGAUUGAAUGAGCCGAUGUCGGAUUAGCUAGUUGGCGGGGUAAAGGCCCACCAAGGCGACGAUCCGUAGCUGGUCUGAGAGGAUGAUCAGCCACACUGGAACUGAGACACGGUCCAGACUCCUACGGGAGGCAGCAGUGGGGAAUAUUGGACAAUGGGCGCAAGCCUGAUCCAGCCAUACCGCGUGGGUGAAGAAGGCCUUCGGGUUGUAAAGCCCUUUUGUUGGGAAAGAAAAGCAGCAGGUUAAUACCCCGCUGUUCUGACGGUACCCAAAGAAUAAGCACCGGCUAACUUCGUG
Molecule: ribosomal RNA, 492 nt
Filed under: uncultured bacterium
Lineage: Bacteria
Description: partial 16S ribosomal RNA
Rfam family: Bacterial small subunit ribosomal RNA
Source: RNAcentral